UACGGAGGGGGCUAGCGUUAUUCGGAAUUACUGGGCGUAAAGCGCACGUAGGCGGCUUUGUAAGUCAGAGGUGAAAGCCUGGAGCUCAACUCCAGAACUGCCUUUGAGACUGCAUCGCUUGAAUCCAGGAGAGGUGAGUGGAAUUCCGAGUGUAGAGGUGAAAUUCGUAGAUAUUCGGAAGAACACCAGUGGCGAAGGCGGCUCACUGGACUGGUAUUGACGCUGAGGUGCGAAAGCGUGGGGAGCAACAGG
RNAcentral lists this ribosomal RNA (252 nucleotides) under uncultured bacterium. Its description in RNAcentral is "partial 16S ribosomal RNA". It matches the Rfam family "Bacterial small subunit ribosomal RNA", at positions 524 to 775 of the family's 1533-position model. The record is from RNAcentral.